This 308-nucleotide long non-coding RNA is filed under the name Vigna radiata. Its description in RNAcentral is "long non-coding RNA (VRAD_LNC011508)". Lineage: Eukaryota; Viridiplantae; Streptophyta; Magnoliopsida; Fabales; Fabaceae. The record is from RNAcentral.
AAAUGGGGCCAAGGGCAGGGGAGGAUAUAAUAUGGAUGAGAAGCUACAAACCGAAAGAAAUAGAGGAGCGAUGGGGAACAAGUGUAAACACAGUCAAAUCGCACCCGAAACCUCUAAUUCAAUCCUCUUCUUGACUCUAUCACUCACACAAAUUUUUUUAAUUUUUCUCAUCAUUUUUUUUUUUAUUUUCAAUAUUUUGUUUUCUUUUAUUUUUUUCAUCUUGUCUCUUUUCUUUUCUCUCUUUUCAGAACACAACUCUAAGAGACAAGAUACACAACAUAUUUACAAAACAAAACAAGAAGAGGAAC